This 254-nucleotide non-coding RNA is filed under the name Aureliella helgolandensis. Lineage: Bacteria; Pseudomonadati; Planctomycetota; Planctomycetia; Pirellulales; Pirellulaceae. The record is from RNAcentral.
GGAGUCCCGCCUGAGCAGCUCCGAGCCCGAGGCUCAGUAGCGAUUGUUGCAGCGUGCCUGGUAACAGUCACGUUGAAGCGUACACAGAAAGGUAGCGAGGUUGAAAGGUAUCGACUGACUGUCGAACCCUGAACGGUAUUGAGCCCUGAAAUUUGGUUAUUGUCGGAUCCUACCCAAGGUAUGUUCACACUGGACGCCAAUACUGACUAUCGCGUUUUGGCAAGCGAUAUUCAGACACCCGGGGUCGAAGGCCC